Molecule: small RNA, 598 nt
Filed under: chicken gut metagenome
Source: RNAcentral
UUUAUGAAAUGGCGCAUUAUUCUAGUCAAUUUCAUUUAUUAUGAAGGCGGGGCUAAAAAUCCGCUAAAGAGCAUAUCUGUGAAACCUCUUGUGCUUGCUUCAUACGCCCAGUUUGGGGUGAGUGCUGGUGGGAAAGGAUAUUGGGCGCCUGUAAUGGCAUACAGUUCCGACCCAAUAUCUGUGGAGACCUAAUCUUGUUAUCUGCCUACACACAGCGAUUGUUGAUGGACAGAUGACGACUUAGGAUGAAACCUACUAUGUGGCUAGCGUUACGAGUAGUGUAGCUUGUCUUGCGUGAGUAUCGGGGAUGAUUGACAACCGAAAUAGUUUAUGGCCAAAAUUACUUCGGCAUCGCAAUUUGAAACGAUAUUUGCAAAAAAGAAUUAAUAAUAAAUAAUUGUCGAGGAAAACUCCUAGAGUGUAGCUUAAUAUAGGAUUGCAGUGUGCACUAAGUGGCAAUCAAGUCAUGUAUUCGGUGACGGUACAUCUAUUUCUUUCAAGGGGAACCGCUUCUCUGGUAACGGAAAGUAGAAAUAGGGGAAAUCCUACUUGACCUAAAGGCGCAAAGUUUACUAUAUUAACUGCCGUUUUUUUUUGA